AUUGAACGCUGGCGGCAUGCCUUACACAUGCAAGUCGAACGGCAGCGGACCUUCGGGUGCCGGCGAGUGGCGAACGGGUGGGUAAUAUAUCGGAACGUACCUUUCAGUGGGGGAUAACGUAGCGAAAGUUACGCUAAUACCGCAUAUUCUGUGAGCAGGAAAGCAGGGGAUCGCAAGACCUUGCGCUGAUUGAGCGGCCGAUAUCAGAUUAGCUAGUUGGUGAGGUAAAGGCUCACCAAGGCGACGAUCUGUAGCGGGUCUGAGAGGAUGAUCCGCCACACUGGAACUGAGACACGGUCCAGACUCCUACGGGAGGCAGCAGUGGGGGAAUUUUGGACAAUGGGCGCAAGCCUGAUCCAGCCAUGCCGCGUGAGUGAAGAAGGCC
This 385-nucleotide ribosomal RNA is filed under the name uncultured bacterium. RNAcentral describes it as "bacterial SSU rRNA". It matches the Rfam family "Bacterial small subunit ribosomal RNA", at positions 30 to 416 of the family's 1533-position model. The record is from RNAcentral.